ACGGCGUCGGCCCCGCGGCGCGGGCGAACCGGAGCGGGCCGGGCCCCGCCGCCCAUGCCGCGGAAAGCGCUGCUCUGCGUCCUGCAGCUGGACGUCCGCUCGAUAACUUGCCCUGGCAUGCUGCUGAAAGACAAAGAGGAGCUUUAUCUCAGUGUCUCUGUACUUGGGCAACACCAAAAAACUCAAUGUGUCCCUGCAGCGUUUCCACUCUUCUUUCAAGAAAAACUAGUAUUUAAGAAGACAUUUGCUGAUAUAGUUGAUCCUGGAGACCUUGUGGAGUUACUGGAACUUGACACAACAGUACUUGAACUAAUACAGCUCGUUCCUCCAGUAGGAAAAGUUCUAGCUACAUAUGAAGAAAAUACAAGAGAUUUCCUGUUCCCUGACCCUAAGCUUACCCGUGGGCACCAUGGUUUUGAUCGUGAGAUUUUAAUGAAGAGGUCCUCUUCUUUUACAGGAAUUGCACCAAAAUUGAGAUUUUCUACAAGCUCCCUUAUUACAGAAAGUCUGUUAAGCUCAGGAAGGAGUCACAUACAGGGUGAUUUGAAUUUGGUACAUCACUCAACCCCAAAUGGAAAAUUGCAAACAAAGUUGCCAAAGAAAAAUACUCUUUCACCUGAGAAAAACAGGCACAUCUUAGCAACAAAGAGCUACGAGCAGCCUACAAUAGCUUCUAAAUCACGUUCACCAUCUCCAUACACAAAAAGACGAAUGUGUGAGCUAUCACAAGAAGCCAGGCAACGACUGGCCCAUUUAAAACUUGGUCCUUAUGAAUUCAGAAGAGAUACCGAUAAACCUCCAUUUGUAGUUAGACGGGUUGAACAGCCAAGUCCUGGUGCUAAACUUCAUACCUGUUGUCACACACGAGAAAGUGCAGCAGAAGCCUGGACCAAGGUAGACUAUGAUUCUUCUGUUCUUGGCAGCUACAGACCUAAGCAAGCCAAAGCAAAAUCUCCUCAUGGAAAAUACUUUGGCAGCUCUGAUGUUUGCAAUGAGGAUAUGAUCUCAGGUCCAGCCAACAGACGGUCCCAUUCUGCUGGUUCAUUAGAGCAUUCGGCGUCUCCAGCACUUCAGAAGCAUUCUCUAAGUUCUGUGCUAAAUCGAUCUUCUCUAAGGGAAAGAUUUAGCUCUGGUUGGCCUUUACCAGCAAAUGGAGAGGAGAUCCACACGAGAGUGAAAAAUAUUUUAAGGACACACAGUGCUAGACAGCGCCUAAUAUUUAGUAGAGUAAACGUGGUUGUGUGUGGUGGAAUUUCUACCAUCCUGCCUCAGGAUGAGAGUAACUCAUCAAAAGGAGGCUUGACUAAAACAGGAGAAUCUGCGCAUAAAGCACCCUUAUCCAUGAGGGAACAGCAGAGCAGUUCACCAAUGCAGCAGAACACCACUGUUCACUUGGAUAAUGGUGAAUAUUGGUCUAAUCGUGCAGCUUUAUACAAAGGGAAGCCUCACAGAGCCAUCUUUGAAGAGAGUCUCGAGAAAAUAUACAGAAACAUGUACCGAAAAGCUGCUGGCACUGAUUCAGACAAAAAACCACACUCCUAAUAACAGUUCACCUGGAAAUGCACAGUAUGCAGUGUUCGUAUUUGUUAUGAGAUCUAUUUUUAUGUAACAAAUAUUUGUACUCUAUUUUUAAAGUGUUAUUAUGGUUGGGCAGGGUUUUCAAGAAAUGGGGUUUUGGCCUGGGUCGCCAAAGGAAACUAUUAACUCUGAUCCUCACCUUGCUUUUCCUUCUCUUCCCCACCCUCCAAACAACAAAUCAAACAAACAAAACCAGCAACUAAGCCCUUGCACAGUUAAGCAAGAUGGUGUUGCUCCUUUGAGACUAUGAAAAGAAGGCUAAUUUAAAAACAUUUGAAGAGUAAUAGGUCUGCUGGACAUUGCUGUCUGACGUUAACUCAGAUUUUAGCUGCAGCCAAUUCUAACUAAAUAAUUAAAGCUAUUUAGUAACAUAAACAGACUUGACUGACAAAGCAAUAUGUCCUAGUGUUCAGAGAGGGGGUCUAAAAAGGAAGGUGAAGGUGAUUGUUGACUUAAAAGCAUCCCAUGUGGGACAAAGGGAAUUGUUUUCUAGAAAAUUGUCUUUGGAUUGUUUAGUUUUUGAGACCUCUGAUACUGACCCAUAGACAUGCUUUCAAAGUGGUUUCAAGCACCUUUAGUCACAAAUUUCCUAAUACUGUCAAAUUUUGAAAGGAACCCACCCAGCCCAGCAGCCUUUGUAUCUGAAGAAAUGUCAUCUUCACACACCUUGUGCAUUUGAAAGCUUCCAGCUUCUCUUGAAUGCAGCCAUGAUAUUUGCCAAUAUACUUGUAAUUUUAACCAAUAUGAAUAACAAAAGAGUGUGGAGGGUGAAAGACUGCAACUAGUCAGCAAGCUCCUCAUAUGCUCUGUGGAGGCCUUCUGAAGUUCCUGCAUCACAAUCCCACCUAAUUUGGAGCCUGUGCUUCCCAGUCUGCUGGGACCUUGUUGGCAGAAAUUGCAUCGUUUUUGCUAAAGGCCACCAAAUGUUCAUCAGCAGUUCGAUGCUUUCCCCGGAGAUGGAACCUUUACAGCCUUGCAUUGAACAGAUCCCACAUUAGCAGACCGGGGCAAAUUGCCCAUCUAUUGAAAAGCAGAAUGUUUUAAAAGGGCAAGAGUGUCCAUCUCCUGCUUCCCUUCAGAAUGGGGGGGAAAAAACAAAUGCCUGUUCUGGCUCUUUCUCUGUCGGAGAGAACAGAUUCAGUUACACCAAUGCCAUUUUACCUGUUAGGAUUGGAUUAAGGAUAAAGCUAGCAGUACAGAUGGCAGAACAUAUGACUGUAACCUGCCAGCAUGCCUAGAUAAACAAAAAGUUGGUCUACUCUGCCUUCCAUCCUUUAGUGCUGAGACAACAUAAUUGAAUUGAGAAAGCAGUUGGUGAGCAAUUAUGCUAGUGGGAAAGCACGUAGAAAGGCUGUGUGCUUCUGUUUCAGGAAAGGGGACUCUCAGAGGAAGUGUCUUGCAUAUAGACAUUUCUAUUCUUCGUAACUGUUAAACCAGUUGAAGUGGAUUAACAGUGAUAACUUCCUGUCCCUGAUGCCAUUUAGCACAUUAGUGCAUUCAAAGGGCAUUAGUUGCAUAGUCAUGCUAUGGAUAAGUGUUGAGUCACUCUAUGAAGUACUAGUGAACUUUUUUUGCAGAAGUGAAAAGUAAAACUCACCCAAGCUGUGCCACUGGAGGCAUGGUGGCCAUGGAGUAUUGUGCUACCAGUACCAGGUAUUCAUUCAUCAGCCUGUUCCUGUGACCCCAUGUUAGUCCAUAAAGGAAUAGUUUCUUUCUCUUUGCUGCUCAGGAAAGUAGGUAUAUUCAAGUGGAUCCUAAAUAGGCAGGGCACAUGCUAAGAAAUACCUUCCAAGCUUUUGGUUGAAAAUGAAUCUACUGAAAUCUGAAGGUCGUUGCAGUUUCCUAUGUUUGAGCCGUAGGAUUUAUUGUUCUUCUUAUGGUAUCCCAGUUUUCAUUCAAUAUUCUCUCUGUUUUCCCUCCCCAGUGUCAUAGCUUAGUAAAAGUUCCAGUCUUCUGAUGAUUGGCUGCUCACCUUUGACCUAAUCUGGGUUCAUGACACAGAAGUACUGUUUGAUUUUUCCAUUCCUGGCAAUCCAGCAGAUUUUAGUCCCUGUUUGUUCAAUGUGUUAGAAGGCCUGACUUCUGGGGCUUUGGGGUUUUUUUUUAAUGGAUGAGUAAGGACACAAGUUGCCAUGAAUUCAAGACACAAAGAGGGGAUGAGGGAAGUUGGAGGCCGUGGUGAAAAAACAGUGUAAUGUUUUUAGAUGUCCAGAGGAAUGGCUGCGGUGUAUCUGUGUGAUUCCUCUAGCUAAAGAAAGGAAACAUAUGGUAAUAUGGCAACCUUCAGUUUUUCAGCAAAGAUGAAAAGUUUUUCAUCAAAGGUGAAAACUGGAUGGGAAUUAAAAAAGUGUCAUAUAUUGAAUUUUGACUGGCAUGAAUAUUGUCAGUGUAGCCUUCAUAUGCAGCAUAACAACAAAUGAAGCAGAUAGACUGUGAGUGUCUUUGGCCCUGCUCCAGCUGCGAGGAGAGAUGGUGUAUAUAAUGUCUUUCUGAAUCAGCUGCUGCAGGAUAUGUGCUUCUCUCUUGGGUCAGAGUCAUUCCACAGCUUGUAUGCUGUGAUACAGCAGAGAGUGUUCUUUUCCAAGCACUGUGCUGGAAAUCUGGUUUGGUUAAUGGAAAACUUUUCUCUGAAAUGUGACUUAAACCCCAAAUUACUCUGAUCUGUCCAUAAAAUCUGCAAGCCACUUUGUUUUCGGAAGCAUUUGGCCCCUUCCCUGUUUGCUCAGCUAACCCUCUUAUUAAUAUGCAUGCAGCUCAAGUGCACUGAGCACUGCUGCUCCCUUGCUGCUGCAGUAUGUGAUAAGUAUAGGUUCAGGCAGCAAACCAACGUAGUAAUAAACUGUAAUUGUUUAGUGCACCUUGCCUUCUAAUACAAUUUAAAUCCCUUCUAUCAAAUGCAAAUUUCCAGGUUCCUGAGUGGAUCUUUAAAUAGCAUUUUUCUAUGCUCAUUCCUUAUCUUUUGCCAUCCACAAAGUGGUCUGUUAGUGACAGUGGGAUGGCAUAAUUCCACCCCCGUCAUUUUACCUCCUAAAGGAAAGCUGCCUACUCAAAUCUAGAAAUAAUGGGCUAGAUUAAGAGGGAAUUAGUGUUUUUCUGUAGAGUCUGUCUCUUUCUCUUGCGCUCCCCAAGUCGUUAUAACCCAUGAGUAUUCUCACCAAAUGCUAUUCAGCAUCCAGCGUUGCUUGCCAUAUGCACUCCAUGCAGUAUUUUAAUCACUUUCAUUUUAAUAAGUCAAGAGUCUGCUUCCUACUUACUCCCCUCUUCCCUACAAAUAACUUGUUACAGUUUAGGAUCUUGGGGUGGCUUUAGACAAACUAUCCACCUGUGUUCAGUAGAAAUGCAAAUCCUUUGGUGAGUGGUAGUUGCUUUGGAAAUCACUCGGUCAUUGACCUGUUGUGGAUUAAAGGCAAAAAUGUCAAACUCUAAUGAUUUGCCUUAUCUAAGCUUCCAACUAGAAGAGAAGCUUAAAUUGGUCCACUGGGCACAGGAGAAGAUGAGUAAUGGGAAUACCUUGGAGCAUCUUGGCAGUCCUGGGGUAACGGUUGGACUUGAUGAUCUUUAAAGUCUUUUCCAACCUCGUUGAUUCUAUGAUUCUGUGGACAGGCAGCAGUGUUUAUAGUCCAAAUCUGAGCAGCUUGGAAGAUGAUGAGGACUGUUCUUUAGAUUGUGCGUCACAUGUUUGAAUUUUACUAUUACUUCAGAGGCUGCCAAAACGGCGAGGGGAGAAAGAUAUCUACCUAGAGUUGUUGGGAAUCUAUAUUUUCGGUAAAGAAACAGAACAUUUAGCUCUGCUCAAUAUUAAAGAGUCUUUUCCAAGCUCCCUCUCAUUGUUACCUCAGCUGUAAAAUGGGGAGUUUGUGCUCUGUUGAAGCUUAAUUAAAUGACUGUGAAGUGCUUUGGGAUCCUGAGGUGAAUGUUACAGAAAUUAUUUUGUGGGAGCCUGGCUGGAAAGUCCCAUCUCAUCUCCAGGUUACUAAAGAGGCUUUAUUUUAAUUUUCUCAGUUUUAUUAUGUUUUAAUUAGGCAGUUAUUAAGCAAGUGUUAAUCUUAUCAAGAUAGAAAUCUAUUAAGUCUAAGAGACGGCUGAAAAAGAUAAUGAAGUACUUUACUACAUGUGCUUUUAGGCACUAAUUUUUACAGUUGGUAUCCUACUCAGCUUCUGUCUCCUGCAUGAUCUGGGUUCAUCAUACUCAGACUGAUUGUUCUCAUGAUAUCUUUUUUAAUACAAAUCAUUUUUUUGUCAUCCUGAUGUCUCGGUGCUGUCUGCUGUGUGUACUAAUCAGCACCAUUAACAUCUGUCACAUCAUUUGUUCUCAUCUUCUCCCCAGGAGCAAGGGGUUCAAUAAUGUGUGCAACUUGACAGUGGAAAAGUUUGUGUGGUGUGCCAUGGGUUUGUCAGAGAAAGUAAGUUGGAAGGAAUCUCUGCCUUUUCAGUCCCUGUGCAAGGAAUAGCUUAUUAAAUAAUUCUACUCUUCCUGAUUUUUAAGCUUCAAAGUCUUUUCUGAAAUGCUGAACUAUGCAACAAAAUUCUUCACCUUGUAGCAGUGGUCACUUAACUGUAUAAAUCUUGUAAUGUGGAAUCUCUGGGUCAUGGGAAAGCCUACCAUGGUGUUAAUUACUUCAGUGGUUAUGGAGUGGUCAUUAUCAGGAUGAGGAUGCUGAGAGUAUCUCAAGAGAUUUGUUUAGUAGUAAAGGAAUUUGGGGAAACUUUCACAUCAGUGAAACUUAGCUUCUUGAUUCUGGUGAAAACAAUUGAAGCUAAAAGAGUACUUCUGUGGCUGAUCUUGAUGAGCAACCUCACUGACAGAAAUGAUGUCUGAUUUGGGUGAUGGUCUCUGGUAACAGAAGAGAACCGGUCUUUGCCCAGUUCCUUUUGGUUUCAAUAAAUAAACCAGUGUGGUGGGAAGUGAUCAAGAACACCUAUUUCUAUUACACAGUGCACAAGCCCCAUUUGUGCAUUGGUUUCUAUUGCUUUCUCCACGGAAUUCAAAACAUCAUGAACCAAAGCCCUUAAAAGAUGAAGCUGUAGCUCUUUUUGUUAUCAGUGUUGGCUUGCCAAAGACUUGCAGUUUGUUCCCUGUUUGUCUUGAGUGAGAAAUUCUCUGAAGUGCAGUGAUAAUUUGUCAGGAGGGCAACAUAAAGGAACUGUAAUCUUUCUCUCUGCUUGAUCAGUUUGGAGAUUGUGCUUUUUCUUCAUGUGUAUUUCUAUUCAACCCUGGGUGAUUGCUUCUGACCUAGCAGAGAACUCUCUGUAUUCUGAGAAGUGGUGAUCUGAGCCUUCUUCUCACCUCUUCAGGGAAAUGAGUUCACUGUUGCAAAACAACAUCCCUCUUGGUUCAUAAGAAUUGACUGAUCCUGAGGAUACAGCACAAAGAUUUUGUCCUGUGGCCAGGCAUUUGUGUAACCCUGCAGAGCUGAUGCCAUUGACAGAGCUUCACACAGAGCUUUUCAGAGCCAUCUUGGUGACUAUGACAGAGGACCAGAGUAUUUCUGUGAUUCUGUUAAUUAGAGCUGAAAAAGGAAAGAAGGAAUAAGAAACUAGCAGAAAAAAAAAAAGGGAUACACAUGAAGCUGUUUCCCCUUUGCUGCGUAUGAGGGUGGAGGGAAAGGGCUGGAGUGGCUCCUUGGUACGAGUGUGUGGAGGAGUAGGGAGGGGAACUUCUGCAGUGCUGACCUAAGGUCAGUCAGAAAUAACCAGCUGGAGUGACAUGAGUGUAAACCUGGUGGAAGUGACAGGCAGCUCAGCUCCUGGGACUCUAUUUACAUAUGUUUAAAACAAACAGAAAAGCUGCCUUUGUUCCCUAGGAAAAUCUAUUUAUUUGGCAUUCAGCUCAUGUAUAAGCUGGAACUUCUUUCAUAGAAGAUGUAGAAACAAAGCAACCGACAUUUCUGCUUUGAUGUGAAGCUGAAGCUAAGAUUUGAUUUUGAAAUAUGAAAGUAAACUGAAACUACCUCCAAUUUAAAGGGGGGAGGAGGGGGUUUAAUGACCUUAAAAGUUUUGGGAAGUUUCCCCCCCCCCCCCCUUAGGGACCAGAAGAAAUUAUAACAGUAAUCUUACUUAUAGCUGUAAGUCUACAGAGACAGUGGCUGUAGGUUAAUGAAAAAUUGACACUGCUACUUGCCUGUGCUUCCAGCAGGAUUUUUUUUCUUCAAACUGAUGUGAACUAUUGCACUGCGUGAGCUGGUUAUGAGGCUCACAUAUUAAAUCGGAUGCUGCUUUUGUGGAAGCUGCAGCAGCAAGUCGCAGCUGAAUGUUUUGAACAACAUUCCUGUUUUGAACGAAUGCAGCAAAAAUUAGGGGUUUCUUAAGAUGGUUACCCUGGUCCUACCCCUCACACACGCACACACACAGAAAUAAAGCUUGCUGUGCCACCCUAAACCAGAAAGCAGACAGAGGAAUUGUCUGUGAGGAUCUCCAGCCCAGUACUGAAUCAGGAGUGCUGUCAAUCCAACCUGAUAGUAGUCUA
RNA transcript from Strigops habroptila (Kakapo), 8044 nucleotides. It is a transcript of the gene named spermatogenesis associated 6, with no coding region annotated. The transcript is spliced from 15 exons. NCBI's taxonomy places the organism in Eukaryota, Metazoa, Chordata, Aves, Psittaciformes, Psittacidae. The record is from RefSeq and is a predicted model, not a curated record.